RNAcentral lists this ribosomal RNA (467 nucleotides) under uncultured bacterium. Its description in RNAcentral is "partial 16S ribosomal RNA". It matches the Rfam family "Bacterial small subunit ribosomal RNA", at positions 29 to 507 of the family's 1533-position model. The record is from RNAcentral.
ACGAACGCUGGCGGCGUGCUUAACACAUGCAAGUCGAACGGAAAGGCCCUGCUUUUGUGGGGUGCUCGAGUGGCGAACGGGUGAGUAACACGUGAGUAACCUGCCCUUGACCUUGGGAUAACUUCAGGAAACUGGGGCUAAUAUCGGAUAGGAGCUCCUGCUGCAUGGUGGGGGUUGGAAAGUUUCGGCGGUUGGGGAUGGACUCGCGGCUUAUCAGCUUGUUGGUGGGGUAGUGGCUUACCAAGGCUUUGACGGGUAGCCGGCCUGAGAGGGUGACCGGCCACAUUGGGACUGAGAUACGGCCCAGCCUCCUACGGGAGGCAGCAGUGGGGAAUAUUGCACAAUGGGCGGAAGCCUGAUGCAGCAACGCCGCGUGCGGGAUGACGGCCUUCGGGUUGUAAACCGCUUUCGCCUGUGACGAAGCGUGAGUGACGGUAAUGGGUAAAGAAGCACCGGCUAACUACGUG